RNAcentral lists this ribosomal RNA (1554 nucleotides) under Klebsiella pneumoniae. RNAcentral's name for it is "bacterial SSU rRNA". It matches the Rfam family "Bacterial small subunit ribosomal RNA". Lineage: Bacteria; Pseudomonadati; Pseudomonadota; Gammaproteobacteria; Enterobacterales; Enterobacteriaceae. The record is from RNAcentral.
ACUUAAAUUGAAGAGUUUGAUCAUGGCUCAGAUUGAACGCUGGCGGCAGGCCUAACACAUGCAAGUCGAGCGGUAGCACAGAGAGCUUGCUCUCGGGUGACGAGCGGCGGACGGGUGAGUAAUGUCUGGGAAACUGCCUGAUGGAGGGGGAUAACUACUGGAAACGGUAGCUAAUACCGCAUAAUGUCGUAAGACCAAAGUGGGGGACCUUCGGGCCUCAUGCCAUCAGAUGUGCCCAGAUGGGAUUAGCUAGUAGGUGGGGUAACGGCUCACCUAGGCGACGAUCCCUAGCUGGUCUGAGAGGAUGACCAGCCACACUGGAACUGAGACACGGUCCAGACUCCUACGGGAGGCAGCAGUGGGGAAUAUUGCACAAUGGGCGCAAGCCUGAUGCAGCCAUGCCGCGUGUGUGAAGAAGGCCUUCGGGUUGUAAAGCACUUUCAGCGGGGAGGAAGGCGAUAAGGUUAAUAACCUUGUCGAUUGACGUUACCCGCAGAAGAAGCACCGGCUAACUCCGUGCCAGCAGCCGCGGUAAUACGGAGGGUGCAAGCGUUAAUCGGAAUUACUGGGCGUAAAGCGCACGCAGGCGGUCUGUCAAGUCGGAUGUGAAAUCCCCGGGCUCAACCUGGGAACUGCAUUCGAAACUGGCAGGCUAGAGUCUUGUAGAGGGGGGUAGAAUUCCAGGUGUAGCGGUGAAAUGCGUAGAGAUCUGGAGGAAUACCGGUGGCGAAGGCGGCCCCCUGGACAAAGACUGACGCUCAGGUGCGAAAGCGUGGGGAGCAAACAGGAUUAGAUACCCUGGUAGUCCACGCCGUAAACGAUGUCGAUUUGGAGGUUGUGCCCUUGAGGCGUGGCUUCCGGAGCUAACGCGUUAAAUCGACCGCCUGGGGAGUACGGCCGCAAGGUUAAAACUCAAAUGAAUUGACGGGGGCCCGCACAAGCGGUGGAGCAUGUGGUUUAAUUCGAUGCAACGCGAAGAACCUUACCUGGUCUUGACAUCCACAGAACUUUCCAGAGAUGGAUUGGUGCCUUCGGGAACUGUGAGACAGGUGCUGCAUGGCUGUCGUCAGCUCGUGUUGUGAAAUGUUGGGUUAAGUCCCGCAACGAGCGCAACCCUUAUCCUUUGUUGCCAGCGGUUCGGCCGGGAACUCAAAGGAGACUGCCAGUGAUAAACUGGAGGAAGGUGGGGAUGACGUCAAGUCAUCAUGGCCCUUACGACCAGGGCUACACACGUGCUACAAUGGCAUAUACAAAGAGAAGCGACCUCGCGAGAGCAAGCGGACCUCAUAAAGUAUGUCGUAGUCCGGAUUGGAGUCUGCAACUCGACUCCAUGAAGUCGGAAUCGCUAGUAAUCGUAGAUCAGAAUGCUACGGUGAAUACGUUCCCGGGCCUUGUACACACCGCCCGUCACACCAUGGGAGUGGGUUGCAAAAGAAGUAGGUAGCUUAACCUUCGGGAGGGCGCUUACCACUUUGUGAUUCAUGACUGGGGUGAAGUCGUAACAAGGUAACCGUAGGGGAACCUGCGGUUGGAUCACCUCCUUACCUUAAAGAA